CUUUUUCUGAAAUAUUCGUUAGGCUCUUAUUUUGAACCUACAUUUUAACUUCGGGAAUCCAAUAUUUAGAUGAGGAAAUGUACCUUCUUAUGAGUCCUUUUUACGGCAUUGAAGGCGAUUGAUGCAUCUGUGAGGAUACCCACCUAUCGAGAGAUAGGUGUCAAAAUUAGAGUACCGGUAUUUUGGAUAUUAU
This 193-nucleotide non-coding RNA is filed under the name Clostridium sp. HMP27. RNAcentral describes it as "6S / SsrS RNA". It matches the Rfam family "6S / SsrS RNA". From Rfam's summary of the family: E. coli 6S RNA was the first non coding RNA to be sequenced, but its function was unknown until recently. The record is from Rfam by way of RNAcentral. Lineage: Bacteria; Bacillati; Bacillota; Clostridia; Eubacteriales; Clostridiaceae.